Molecule: ribosomal RNA, 460 nt
Filed under: uncultured bacterium
Lineage: Bacteria
Description: partial 16S ribosomal RNA
Rfam family: Bacterial small subunit ribosomal RNA
Source: RNAcentral
CCUACGGGUGGCAGCAGUGAGGAAUAUUGGUCAAUGGGCGCGAGCCUGAACCAGCCAAGUAGCGUGACGGAUGACUGCCCUACGGGUUGUAAACUUCUUUUUUAAAGGAAUAAAGUGAGGCAAGUGUGCCUUUUUGUAUUUACUUUAUGAUUCAGGAUCGGCUAACUCCGUGCCAGCAGCAGCGGUAAUACGGAGGAUCCGAGGGUUAUCCGGAUUUAUUGGGUUGAAAGGGAGCGUAGAUGGGUUGUUAAGUCAGUUGUGAAAGUUUGCGGCUCAACCGUAAAAUUGCAAUUGAUACUGGCAGUCUUGAGUACAGUUGAGGUAGGCGGAAUUCGUGGUGUAGCGGUGAAAUGCUUAGAUAUCACGAAGAACUCCGAUUGCGAAGGCAGCUUACUAAACUGCCACUGACAUUGAUGCUCGAAAGUGUGGGUAGCAAACAGGAUUAGAUACCCCAGUAGUC